Non-coding RNA from Callorhinus ursinus (northern fur seal), 153 nucleotides. Lineage: Eukaryota; Metazoa; Chordata; Mammalia; Carnivora; Otariidae. The record is from RefSeq and is a predicted model, not a curated record.
AGUGAAAUAAGUCAGACAGAGAAAGACAAGUAUCUAAGAGGCAUUGUUGCCUGGAUGAAUAGAGGGUGUGUUUCAGCCCUGGGAUGUUUGAGUUGAAGAGCUUGAAUUUCAUUGAACAUUUCUCUGACGAUUUUCCAGUUAUCCCCGAAAUUU